Long non-coding RNA from Heterocephalus glaber (naked mole-rat), 1185 nucleotides. The record is from Ensembl. NCBI's taxonomy places the organism in Eukaryota, Metazoa, Chordata, Mammalia, Rodentia, Bathyergidae.
GGUGCCCAGACAUUGGUGACAUUCAUCUGCUGUGCUAUGAGGCUGUUGCUGGGUGAGAUUUGGUGUGGGUGGUCCUCACACAAUCAGCUGAAGAUGCUGAAGAGAGCAAAAAAGGCUGAGUAAAAGGGAAGACCUCCUGCCCUAUCAUGUCAGCUGGGCCAGUUGGCCUUUUCUUUCCUUUGCAGUUGAAUGGAAACUUUUGAUUCUUCAUAGGUCCUGGCCCUUUGGACUUAGACUGGAACUGAAUCACCAGCUCUCCUAGGUAUCCAGCUUGCUGACUACAAAUGUUGGGACAUCUUUGCCUCCAUAAUUGUGGCUCAAGGGAUCCAACUCCCUCCAAGCCUUCCCUUCCCAUGUGCUGCUUUCAUGGUCCUAUUGCAAAGUCACCCUUGUUUUGUGUGGUAAAGGGCCUACCUCUCCCAAGGAAGUCUUGCCUUUGGCUUUGGCUAGUGGGGUGUGAGCUCUAAGUUCUUAGAACUUCCUCCCUGAUGAAUGGUUUGUUUACCUAGGAGCUUUGAUAGUCUAAACUAACCAAAUAGUUUAACAGGAUGUGUGAUGGUUGACUGAUAGUGUCAACUUGAGUAAGAAAUGCCCAACCAAAUUGGCUCACCAUUGUUCUGGGUGUGGGGGACCCACCCUAGGGAGGAUUAUGGCUAGAAUGGUAUAAAAGGGAAAUGAAGAAGGUUGGUUUGCUUCUGUUUCUUUGGAGGAGCUCCACCCUUCACUUUCACCUUGGACAUUGUCUCCUGGCUUCCAGUGCAGACUUUUCAGCCUCCAGUACAGACCCUUCAGCCUUCCUGCGUAGACCCUUUGGCCCUCAACCACAGACCCUUGGGCCUCCUGAUACAGACUUGCAUGGGACACUACACUGAUCUCUAAGGCCUUCAACAAGAUCCUUUGGCUCCCCACUGAUCAGACAGACCCUCUGCACUCUUCCACACCCAAUUCUGUGGGCAGCCACUGGAUCGAACUCGGGUCCUUGCGCUUGCACAGCAGGCGGCGAAACCACUGAGCUAAAUCCUCGGCCUAAAAAGAGUAUUAACUUUAACAAUCAUUUUACAGCAAUCAUGUAGAGACUUGUGUUGAAGUUGUGUUCUGAACUCACUUUGUGUUCAUAAGAAACAAAAAUAGGAGAAAAUUUUAGAAUAUCCAAUAUUUUAACUUUUCAUAAUUUCAAGACUUCAG